RNAcentral lists this ribosomal RNA (467 nucleotides) under Dechloromonas sp. Its description in RNAcentral is "bacterial SSU rRNA". It matches the Rfam family "Bacterial small subunit ribosomal RNA", at positions 391 to 849 of the family's 1533-position model. Lineage: Bacteria; Pseudomonadati; Pseudomonadota; Betaproteobacteria; Rhodocyclales; Azonexaceae. The record is from RNAcentral.
GCCAUGCCGCGUGAGUGAAGAAGGCCUUCGGGUUGUAAAGCUCUUUCGGCCGGGAAAAAAUCGCAUGGGUUAAUACCCUGUGUGGAUGAUGGUACCGGAAUAAGAAGCACCGGCUAACUACGUGCCAGCAGCCGCGGUAAUACGUAGGGUGCGAGCGUUAAUCGGAAUUACUGGGCGUAAAGCGUGCGCAGGCGGUUUGAUAAGACAGGCGUGAAAUCCCCGGGCUCAACCUGGGAACUGCGUUUGUGACUGUCUCACUAGAGUACGGCAGAGGGGGGUGGAAUUCCACGUGUAGCAGUGAAAUGCGUAGAGAUGUGGAGGAACACCAAUGGCGAAGGCAGCCCCCUGGGUCGAUACUGACGCUCAUGCACGAAAGCGUGGGUAGCAAACAGGAUUAGAUACCCUGGUAGUCCACGCCCUAAACGAUGUCAACUAGGUGUUGGGUGGGUAAAACCAUUUANUACCGU